This 73-nucleotide transfer RNA is filed under the name Heliconius melpomene (postman butterfly). Its description in RNAcentral is "tRNA HMEL005213". The record is from RNAcentral. Lineage: Eukaryota; Metazoa; Arthropoda; Insecta; Lepidoptera; Nymphalidae.
GAACCUAUGGCUUAGUUGGUCAGAGCGUUUGGACAGUUUCCAAGAAUCGCUGGUUGAAAUCCCGCUUCUUUUA